CAAGGGAACAAUUUAUAACACCAUAACUUCAAGUAUUACUCUAAGAUCAAGUAAAACAAAAUCCCUGUCCUUCGUAGAAAAAAUAGAAGUCCUCAUGUUAUCUGUACUGAGCACAGUUAGCCUGGUUGGUACACCAAGGAAAAUCUUAGGAGAGAGUCAUGGUGCAAUAACCAAGCCCUGCAUCCCACGGAACCAAAAAGAAAAAAAAAAUCAUUAUUGUCCGUACUGAAUCUGCAGCUGCCUGCAAUGUGACAU
This 255-nucleotide unclassified non-coding RNA is filed under the name Hevea brasiliensis (rubber tree). Lineage: Eukaryota; Viridiplantae; Streptophyta; Magnoliopsida; Malpighiales; Euphorbiaceae. The record is from RNAcentral.